RNAcentral lists this long non-coding RNA (2724 nucleotides) under Homo sapiens (human). RNAcentral describes it as "non-protein coding lnc-YWHAZ-4:1". The record is from RNAcentral. Lineage: Eukaryota; Metazoa; Chordata; Mammalia; Primates; Hominidae.
UUCUGCACAGUCCACGGAAUUCUUAGUACUUUUAGUGAGCUGGAGCUGAUCUGUGAUCCCUGAGAUCGCUGCAGAUAGAAGCAAAGAGUGUCAACCAGGCCCCUAAAGCCCAAUAAAUCAAAAUAAAUGCAAGAGAUGCUUGUGCUUACCAGACCUGGGUAGUGACCUGCAAACCACACUGCGAGCCCCAGCUUCUCUCCCAAAUUCCACCUUUGCUUCCAGGAAUUGCCCCAUGUGUGUAUUCAGACUCAGCGAGCCAACUCUGAAUUCUUGCAUAUUUCUACAGAUGGCACUGCCAUUCUCUAUUCUCCCAGCCACGUCUUAGUGUCACUAUUCACCUCAUUUGACUGCCAUAAGGCUCAAUAAUUAGUUGUACGCAACUAAUUGGUCCAGUUUCUAAAUCUCCUCAAUCCUGUCUCAUUGUCUAAUUUAAAAAAAAUUUUUUAGAGAUAGGGUCUCACUAUGUUGCCUAGGCUGGAUUUAAACUCCUAGUCUAAGCAAUCCUCUUGCCUCAACCUCCUGAGUAGCUAGGACUACAUAUGAACGCCACUGUGGCUGGCUUCAUCAUCUAUUUUUAAAAAUACCUACCUUUGGUGAGACGCGGUGGCUCACACCUGUAAUCCCAGGACUUUGGGAGGCCAAGGCGGGCGGAUCACAAUGUCAGGAGAUGGAGACCAUCCUGGCUAACAUGAUGAAACCCCAUCUCUACUAAAAAUACAAAAAAUUAGCUGGGCGUGGUGGCAGGCGCCUGUAGUCCCAGCUACUCGGAAGGCUGAGGCAGGAGAAUGGUGUGAACCCGGGAGGCGGAGUUUGCAAGUAAGCUGAGAUUGCACCACUGCACUCCAGCCUGAGCGAUAGAAUGAGACUCCGUCUCAAAAAUAAAUAAAUAAAUAAAAUACCUACCUUUGGCCAGGUGUGGUGUCUCAUGCCUGUAAUACCAAGAUUUGGGGAAGGGGGUGGCCAAUGUGGGAGGAUUGCUUGAACCCAGGAAUUCGAGACCCACCUGUGCAACAGAGUAAGACCCCAUCUCUACAAAAAAACGUUUUUUUUAAUUAGCUGGGCGUGGCAUACCUGUAGUCCCAUCUACUCGGGAAGCUGAGGUGGGAGGAUCGCUUGAGCCUGGGAGGUUGAGGCUGCAGGGAGCUGUGAUCUCACCACUACACUCCAGAGUUCGAACUUUAUUUGAGAAAUGAAGAGGAGGAAAGAUUAUUAACUUUUUAAGGCACUUACUGUGUGUUAGCUCUAUUAGGCAUUUGCACUGAAGGUUAGAUCUAACAUAGCCUUCCCACCAAGCUUUGUAAUUACAACUCCUGUUAUUCUACUUGUAUCUUACUCCAGGUAAACUGGCCUGGCCAUAUAUUUCUUUUUUAGCUGCCUUUCAUCCUAGUCAAUAGGCCACACUUUCUUACUUGCACAAGCCUGCAUUCUCUCCCCACUGCAUAUCUUCAAUUAUAUUCUUCUCUCUCUCCAUCAUCUCCCAACCCCAUCACCAGGGUAGGUGCAGUGCUACACAUCUUUUAAGGUCCAUUGCUGGUAUUCUGGUACAUAUUUAAUAACCAGCUCUCUGGGCAGGUAAAACUCUGAUUUGUAGUGUUUGUCCAUUUUUCUUUUGGUUUGCCACAGCCAAUUUCGAGCUACCAGUCUGAUAUCAACUGGAUGACAAAAUUUCUGAAAAAAUUAGCUAUCAUUUCUCAAAGACUAGUAUGAGCUGGCUCUAGCACAUCACUGAGCCUCAAACGUCACUGGUCUUGACAUCUCCAAUCUAUAGUAUACUUUCCCUGCUUUGAACUUUGUUAGUAACUUACAUUCUCUCACGAAAAGUAUUCUGCAUUAUAUUAUAGUUAUAAUGAACCCUGAUUAUCAUCCCAUCUUAGAUUAUUAACUUUUCAAGUGCAUGACCCAUCUUACUCAUCUAUGUAUUCACAGUGAUGCCUAGAACAAUAAUGGUGUUCAAUAAAUAUUUGCUGUAUUAGACAGAUGAUGAAGAUUAUCACCAGGGCUUGACUCAGUUGUGGUGAGGAUACAAUGACAUCAUGUAUGUAAAGCACUUUCCAGAGUGCUUGGCCCUGCAAGUGCUUAAUUAGUAACAGCUAAUUUUACUAUUGGCUGUGGCUUCUGGAAUUCAGAGAGCACAAGUAACAUCAAUUCUUAACAACUCCUCUCUCCCCAACAGACACACACAUUAGUCACUUGGGCAACAUUUACAAACCGCAAUGCCCAGGCCAAUAUAUUUUUAAAUUUCCCCAAGUGAUUCUGUUGUGCCCCAAGCUUCUGAGAACCAGCAUCCUACAUGCUGCUAAUCUUCUCUCUGGAUAAGGAAUCCAAAAUAUCAAAAAGGAAAUGACCUCUAAAUAGAACCAGCUACCCCUUUAAAAAUCCUCCUGUUCACUAAACAAUUCCAGUCAACAGGAGGAAAGCUCACUCGAAGGAUUGCCUUAUUUGGUGAAGUCUGGGUGGGGUUACCUGGGAGGAAAGGCUGAGAAUGAGUAAUGCAGCGUUCUGCUGGGGCAGGAGAGAAAUACCUCUUUGUCAGCAAACUCCUGUAAGUGAAGUUCGUCAAGCUGGCAGAAUUUUAGAGGCAUCUCAUUUAAAUUAGAUCUGGCCUUUGUGAUGAUUUAGUGCAAACCAAACGUAAGUAAGUUUCAUCUCAAUAAGCAUCUGUGUGUUUACCCAAAUUAUCUUGUUCCUCCAGAUUUUUUUUUUUUUGAAAUGGAGUCUCACUGU